RNAcentral lists this ribosomal RNA (370 nucleotides) under uncultured eukaryote. RNAcentral describes it as "partial 18S ribosomal RNA". It matches the Rfam family "Eukaryotic small subunit ribosomal RNA", at positions 592 to 976 of the family's 1831-position model. The record is from RNAcentral.
CAAUAGCGUAUAUUAACGUUGUUGCAGUUAAAAAGCUCGUAGUUGGAUUUCUGGAGGGAGCGUCGGCCCGUAUUUACGAGUGCGUGACGUCUCUGUCCAUCCUUGCGGGAAGGCACGGCAUUGAUUUGUUGUGUCGGAUCGCAUCAUUUACUGUGAAAAAAUUAGAGUGUUCAAAGCAGGCUUAUGCCGUUGAAUAUAUUAGCAUGGAAUAAUGAUAUAGGACCUUGGUACUAUUUUGUUGGUUUGCGCACUGAGGUAAUGAUUAAUAGGGACAGUUGGGGGUAUUCGUAUUCCAUUGUAAGAGGUGAAAUUCUUGGAUUUUUGGAAGACGAACUACUGCGAAAGCAUUUACCAAGGAUGUUUUCAUUAA